Molecule: long non-coding RNA, 509 nt
Filed under: Parus major (Great Tit)
Lineage: Eukaryota; Metazoa; Chordata; Aves; Passeriformes; Paridae
Description: lncRNA (ENSPMJG00000015244.1)
Source: RNAcentral
GGUUUUGCUGUCCUUUUUUACUUCUUCACAGGAAAGAAAGGCCUAGAAUAAUUUCUUAUUGUGGCAGUAAAAUCUCAUUUAACAUUCUCAGCUCUUUAUUGUAGAAUGACUUCUAUAUAGCACUACAACUCAUGUGUAAAGAGGAAGGAGAAGGACCUUUGGAAGCCUCUGGUCCCAUCACACCUGAUACAGCUGAAGUUUUCUCACUGCCUGAAUUCUUUAAUUGGAAAAGACUCAAGACAAAUAUGAGAGGCCACCAGAUCCCUUCCUGUCAUCUGUUAAAAAAUCAAGUAUCAUUGUGUGCUGAAGAGUCCCUUAAUUAUCAUUGCAAUGCAGAAUAAUCCCACCUCUGACAAGCCACCUCUAAUGCUUGAUGAAGACAGAAGAAUUAAUGUGGAGCAGGAAGUAUGCUGGUUGUAAGGGCUGGGCAUGUUCUCAGAUGAGACAGUUGGUGGUUCCAUGUGAAAACAACAAAAAGUCAUCACAUAAAAGUUACAGGAGAAUUUCUG